CUACACGACCGUACCGCAAACCGACACUGGUGCGCGAGAUGAGUAUUCUAAGGCGCUUGAGAGAACUCAGGAGAAGGAACUCGGCAAAUUGACACCGUAACUUCGGAAGAAGGUGUGCCCUAGUAUUGUGAAGUGAACAACGGAGCAAGAAAGGGUUGCAAAAAAUCGGUGGCUGCGACUGUUUAUUAAAAACACAGCACUCUGCAAACACGAAAGUGGACGUAUAGGGUGUGACGCCUGCCCGGUGCUGGAAGAUUAAAUGAUGGGGUGCAAGCUCUUGAUUGAAGUCCCAGUAAACGGCGGCCGUAACAAUAACGGUCCUAAGGUAGCGAAAUUCCUUGUCGGGUAAGUUCCGACCUGCACGAAUGGCGUAACGAUGGCCACACUGUCUCCUCCUGAGACUCAGCGAAGUUGAAAUGUUUGUGAUGAUGCAAUCUCCCCGCGGAAAGACGGAAAGACCCCAUGAACCUUUACUGUAGCUUUGUAUUGGACUUUGAACAGAUCUGUGUAGGAUAGGUGGGAGGCUUUGAAGCAGGGUCGCUAGAUCUUGUGGAGCCAACGUUGAAAUACCACCCUGGUGUGUUUGAGGUUCUAACCUAGGUCCAUUAUCUGGAUCGGGGACAGUGCAUGGUAGGCAGUUCGACUGGGGCGGUCUCCUCCCAAAGCGUAACGGAGGAGUUCGAAGGUACGCUAGUUACGGUCGGACAUCGUGACGAUAGUGCAAUGGCAUAAGCGUGCUUAACUGCGAGACUGACAAGUCGAGCAGAUGCGAAAGCAGGACAUAGUGAUCCGGUGGUUCUGUAUGGAAGGGCCAUCGCUCAACGGAUAAAAGGUACUCUGGGGAUAACAGGCUGAUACCGCCCAAGAGUUCAUAUCGACGGCGGUGUUUGGCACCUCGAUGUCGGCUCAUCUCAUCCUGGGGCUGUAGCCGGUCCCAAGGGUAUGGCUGUUCGCCAUUUAAAGAGGUACGUGAGCUGGGUUUAAAACGUCGUGAGACAGUUUGGUCCCUAUCUUCCGUGGGCGCUGCAGAUUUGAGGAAGCCUGCUCCUAGUACGAGAGGACCGGAGUGGACACACCUCUGGUGUAUCGGUUGUCACGCCAGUGGCAUUGCCGAGUAGCUAUGUGUGGAAGAGAUAACCGCUGAAAGCAUCUAAGCGGGAAACUCGUUUCAAGAUGAGAUCUGCCGGGGCCUUGAGCCCCCUAAAGAGUCGUUCAAGACCAGGACGUUGAUAGGUCAGGUGUGGAAGCG
This 1249-nucleotide ribosomal RNA is filed under the name metagenome. Its description in RNAcentral is "bacterial LSU rRNA". It matches the Rfam family "Bacterial large subunit ribosomal RNA", at positions 1634 to 2875 of the family's 2925-position model. The record is from RNAcentral.